UGCCGCGUGAGUGAUGAAGGCCUUUGGGUUGUAAAGCUCUUUCGUCUGUGAAGAUAAUGACUGUACCCGAAUAAGAAGGUCCGGCUAACUUCGUGCCAGCAGCCGCGGUAAU
This 112-nucleotide ribosomal RNA is filed under the name uncultured bacterium. RNAcentral describes it as "partial 16S ribosomal RNA". It matches the Rfam family "Bacterial small subunit ribosomal RNA", at positions 395 to 524 of the family's 1533-position model. The record is from RNAcentral.